Non-coding RNA from Ictidomys tridecemlineatus (thirteen-lined ground squirrel), 72 nucleotides. The record is from Rfam. Lineage: Eukaryota; Metazoa; Chordata; Mammalia; Rodentia; Sciuridae.
UGGGUUGUGGCUCAGUGGUAGAGCACUCGCCUCGCAUGUGUGAGGCACUGGUUUCAAUCCUCAGCACCACAU